CCUACGGGUGGCAGCAGUGAGGAAUAUUGGUCCAUGGCCGAGAGGCUGAACCAGCAAAGUCGCGUGAGGGAAGAAUGUCCUAUGGAUUGUAAACCUCUUUUGUCAGGGAGCAAAGUCAACCACGUGUGGGUGUUGGAGAGUACCUGAAGAAACAGCAUCGGCUACCUCCGUGCCAGCAGCCGCGGUAAUACGGAGGAUGCGAGCGUUAUCCGGAUUUAUUGGGGUGAAAGGGGGCGUAGGCGGGUUAUCAAGUCAGCGGUAAAAUCGUGGAGCUCAAAUUCAUCCAGCCGUUGAACCUGAUUAGCUUGAGUGGGCGAGAAGUAUGCGGAAGUCGUGGUGUAGCGGUGAAAGGCAGAGAUAUCACGCAGAACUCCGAGUGCGAAGGCAGCAUACCGGCGCCCGACUGACGCUGAAGCACGAAAGCGUGGGUAUCGAACAGGAUUAGAUACCCCAGUAGUC
RNAcentral lists this ribosomal RNA (459 nucleotides) under uncultured bacterium. Its description in RNAcentral is "partial 16S ribosomal RNA". It matches the Rfam family "Bacterial small subunit ribosomal RNA", at positions 338 to 795 of the family's 1533-position model. The record is from RNAcentral.